This 99-nucleotide ribosomal RNA is filed under the name Gelidibacter salicanalis. The record is from RNAcentral. Lineage: Bacteria; Pseudomonadati; Bacteroidota; Flavobacteriia; Flavobacteriales; Flavobacteriaceae.
GUCAACGGCCAUACCACACUGAACCUACCGGUUCUCGUCCGAUCCCCGCAGUCAAGCAGUGUUGGGCCUGGUUAGUGUACUUGGAUGGGUGACCGCCUG